This 505-nucleotide ribosomal RNA is filed under the name Trichoderma sp. 1105_23. Its description in RNAcentral is "eukaryotic LSU rRNA". The stretch from base 201 to 354 matches the Rfam family "5.8S ribosomal RNA". Lineage: Eukaryota; Fungi; Ascomycota; Sordariomycetes; Hypocreales; Hypocreaceae. The record is from RNAcentral.
AGAAAAAAAUCGAUAGUCCACCCAUGUGAACGUUACCAACUGUUGCCUCGGCGGGAUCUCUGCCCCGGGUGCGUCGCAGCCCCGGACCAAGGCGCCCGCCGGAGGACCAACCAAAACUCUUUUUGUAUACCCCCUCGCGGGUUUUUUUUAUAAUCUGAGCCUUCUCGGCGCCUCUCGUAGGCGUUUCGAAAAUGAAUCAAAACUUUCAACAACGGAUCUCUUGGUUCUGGCAUCGAUGAAGAACGCAGCGAAAUGCGAUAAGUAAUGUGAAUUGCAGAAUUCAGUGAAUCAUCGAAUCUUUGAACGCACAUUGCGCCCGCCAGUAUUCUGGCGGGCAUGCCUGUCCGAGCGUCAUUUCAACCCUCGAACCCCUCCGGGGGGUCGGCGUUGGGGAUCGGCCCUGCCUUUUGGCGGUGGCCGUCUCCGAAAUACAGUGGCGGUCUCGCCGCAGCCUCUCCUGCGCAGUAGUUUGCACACUCGCAUCGGGAGCGCGGCGCGUCCACAG